This 420-nucleotide ribosomal RNA is filed under the name uncultured bacterium. RNAcentral describes it as "partial 16S ribosomal RNA". It matches the Rfam family "Bacterial small subunit ribosomal RNA", at positions 361 to 773 of the family's 1533-position model. The record is from RNAcentral.
AUCUUCCACAAUGGACGAAAGUCUGAUGGAGCAACGCCGCGUGAGGGAAGAAGGUUUUCGGAUCGUAAAGCCCUGUUGUGAGGGAAGAACAAGUACAGGAGUAACUGUCUGUACCUUGACGGUACCUCACCAGAAAGCCACGGCUAACUACUUGCCAGCAGCCGCGGCAAUACGUAGGUGGCAAGCGUUGUCCGGAAUUAUUGGGCGUAAAGGGCGCGCAGGCGGUCCUUUAAGUCUGAUGUGAAAGCCCACGGCUCAACCGUGGAGGGUAAUUGGAAACUGGAGGACUUGAGUACAGAAGAGGGAAGCGGAAUUCCACGUGUAGCGGUGAAAUGCGUAGAGAUGUGGAGGAACACCAGUGGCGAAGGCGGCUUUCUGGUCUGUAACUGACGCUGAGGCGCGAAAGCGUGGGGAGCAAAC